UUUCCGUAGGUGAACCUGCGGAAGGAUCAUUAAUGAGUUGUCAUGGGGUUCGAUGCUGGCAGCCAAUUUUUGGAUGCAUGUGCUUGCCCUAACAAUCAUCUUCCAAACACCUGUGCACAUUUUUGAGGGAGUCUUGAGUUGGUUGCCGCUCUUGGGUGAUUUUCUCACAUUCCCUUAAAUCAUUAUACGCUAUUAACAAUGUUGAACGUGCUUUGUGCCGCAAGGCUAUUAAUAUAAUACAACUUUUAACAACGGAUCUCUUGGCUCUC
RNAcentral lists this unclassified non-coding RNA (269 nucleotides) under plant metagenome. RNAcentral describes it as "partial contains small subunit ribosomal RNA, internal transcribed spacer 1, and 5.8S ribosomal RNA". The record is from RNAcentral.